Molecule: ribosomal RNA, 492 nt
Filed under: uncultured bacterium
Lineage: Bacteria
Description: partial 16S ribosomal RNA
Rfam family: Bacterial small subunit ribosomal RNA
Source: RNAcentral
AGUGAACGCUGGCGGUAGGCCUAACACAUGCAAGUCGAACGGCAGCACAGUAAGAGCUUGCUCUUACGGGUGGCGAGUGGCGGACGGGUGAGGAAUACAUCGGAAUCUACUUUUUCGUGGGGGAUAACGUAGGGAAACUUACGCCAAUACCGCAUACGACCUACGGGUGAAAGCAGGGGAUCUUCGGACCUUGCGCGAUUGACUGAGCCGAUGUCGGAUUAGCUAGUUGGCGGGGUAAAGGCCCACCAAGGCGACGAUCCGUACCUGGUCGGGGGGGAUGAUCAGCCAAACUGGAACUGAGACACGGUCCAGACUCCUACGGGAGGCGGCAGUGGGGAAUAUUGGACAAUGGGCGCAAGCCUGAUCCAGCCAUACCGCGUGGGUGAAGAAGGCCUUCGGGUUGUAAAGCCCUUUUGUUGGGAAAGAAAAGCAGCAGGUUAAUACCCCGCUGUUCUGACGGUACCCAAAGAAUAAGCACCGGCUAACUUCGUG